RNAcentral lists this ribosomal RNA (421 nucleotides) under uncultured Methanobacteriales archaeon. RNAcentral describes it as "partial 16S ribosomal RNA". It matches the Rfam family "Archaeal small subunit ribosomal RNA", at positions 330 to 747 of the family's 1478-position model. The record is from RNAcentral. Lineage: Archaea; Methanobacteriati; Methanobacteriota; Methanobacteria; Methanobacteriales.
GUGCAGCAGGCGCGAAAACUCCGCAAUGCGCGAAAGCGUGACGGGGGAACCCCAAGUGCCGUUGGUCUUUUGAUCGGCGGCUUUUCGGAAGUCUAAGAAGCUUCCGGAAUAAGGGCUGGGCAAGUCUGGUGCCAGCCGCCGCGGUAAUACCAGCAGCCCAAGUGGUGGUCGCGUUUAUUGGGCCUAAAGCGCUCGUAGCCGGGCCUGUAAGUCCCUUGUGAAAUCGGACGGCUCAACCGUUCGGCUUGCAAGGGAGACUGCUAGCCUUGGAACCGGGAGAGGUCGGAGGUACUUCGGGGGUAGCGGUGAAAUGCUGUAAUCCCCGGGGGACCACCAGUGGCGAAGGCGUCCGACCAGAACGGAUUCGACGGUGAGGGGCGAAGGCUGGGGGAGCGAACGGGAUUAGAUACCCCCGUAGUCC